This is a non-coding RNA of Acanthosepion pharaonis, 113 nucleotides long. The record is from the annotation of a GenBank genome assembly. Lineage: Eukaryota; Metazoa; Mollusca; Cephalopoda; Sepiida; Sepiidae.
UUACGGCCAUAUCAGGUUGAAACACCGGUUCCCGUACGGUGACCAAAGUUAAGCAACGUCGAGCCUGGUCAGUACCUAGACGGGUGACCGCUUUUGAAUACCAGGUACUGUAA